This 1006-nucleotide long non-coding RNA is filed under the name Struthio camelus australis. RNAcentral describes it as "lncRNA (ENSSCUG00000014433.1)". Lineage: Eukaryota; Metazoa; Chordata; Aves; Struthioniformes; Struthionidae. The record is from RNAcentral.
AUGGCAGCAGCCUCUGUGUGGGGGGGAAAAGCAACAUGCUGGAUAUUGAAUUGGACUUUCCUCCUUCCUAGGAUGAAAGGAUGUUAUCUAUCCCGUGCCAAGAGGGAACUGAGAGCAAUGAACAUAUGGCUGCUACUAUCAGCACUGGUGUAUUUGCAGCGAUGCCUAUCAACAUCCACCAGAGAGCAGGGCAGCUCCAAAACCCACAUCUUUUAUGCUGUGGAAAUUGAUGGAGACAGCAACACAGCCAGCUUCUUGGCCAAACAACAUGGAAUGCAGUUCAUUUCAAAGGUGAAGAGCAUCCUGCAGAGUCCUCCCAGCAAAGACAUGGAAGUUUAAAAAUGUAGAUGUUGACCUACUUGAAACUGGGCUUCAGUAACCAGUGAAUAUCACACAGUCUCCUAUACAUCUGUCAAAGAUAAAGGUCCACUCUAUUCAGACUUAAUUUUGAAAAUGCAAAUUUUGGGUGUCUGCUUUCUUACUCAAAGAACUUAAAACAUAUCUUCAUUUUCUACAAUUUGUAUUUCCUAGCGGCUCAACAGAAGUCUUAAACUCAGGACUUCAUGCCAGACCUUUUGAUCUAAAGACACUAGCAACAACUGAAAUUGCUGUUCCCAGUCUUGUUCCCAGGUGGUAAUUGUAUGUUUCAGUAAGCUAAAUGAUAGGAAUGAGUACAGUUUAGAAGAGAAAAGGCAAGGAAACAAACAAACAAUAUCGUUUCCAUCUUAAUAAUCAGCUAUCUGUGUAAAAACAACUUUUCUUUUAUUUAUAUUGAAUAAUUAAACAAAACUAAAUUUCUAUGAAAUAUUGUUAUGACGUUGAUAUUAAUAAUGCUCUGUUUCUGAAAGACUGAAAUACAGUUUAAUGCUAAGCUCCAUAUAACAUAUGUAUAACAUAGUAGCAUAUAUAUAAGAUACAAUGUAUUUCUGUGAAAGCUUAUUAUAUAAGCAAGAUCAACAAAUGUUGGAGAAGGAAAUAAAGAUGUGGAAAGGUCAAAUGACUUGCA